Molecule: long non-coding RNA, 2779 nt
Organism: Astatotilapia calliptera (eastern happy)
Lineage: Eukaryota; Metazoa; Chordata; Actinopteri; Cichliformes; Cichlidae
Source: Ensembl
UACUGUGAAGUAAAACACGAUAAGUACUAAAUGCUAAAGUACAGCAACUGCAAAUUUCAUUGCAAUAAUUCAAAAUUUCACUCAGUAGUUUGUAUGGCCCCUACAUUCUUGUAUGCAUGCCUGACUACGUUGGGGCAUGCUCCUACUCAGAUGACAGAUGGUGUCAUGGGGCCUCUACUCCCAGUGAGGCCAGCGCUUCACUGAGCACAAAGUUGUAUCCAAGUUUCAACCUGUGCUGUGCAGGCAUCACUGAGAUGCAGCACUGUCACUGGAGUUUGAAUCAGGCAGCAGGAGCAUGGCAGCAAUAUAUGUUUGUAUAACUGAUCCCAGCACAUUAAUGACAGCACACCAUGAGAUCUGCAGUAAAUCUUUUAAAUCCAGAAUAAUUCACAGCUGAAAGAGAAAAGUCCAAAAUAAAGAGAAAUUUCACAAACUACAUGUUGAAUCAAUACAAUGUCAUAUUUAUAAUUACAGAAAUUAAAUUCUUUAUUUAUACACCCAUGUCUGUACACUCUUUGUAUAGCCCCUGCUGCAGUCCACAUUCUCCUGUCAGUCUGAUCGGCUCUUAAGAGGGGAAUUCAUAGAAAAGUGAGUGUUGAUCUCUCCUGAUACAAACACAAUGGCUUUCAACAACAGCAGACAACUUGUUUUCUUCAAAAUGAUUUUUUUUUCUGUUUUUGACAAUGAAAAACUGACAACUGGAGAGACAACUGCUGAAUAUAACAUUUUCAAUAUCCUUCAUUAGUGAAUCUUGCUUUUACAUUUAUUUAAUUGUCUGAUAAAUAUUGACCACAUAAAAUAUUUAGUUACAAACUGGUGUUAGUGACAAUUGAUGUAGAAAGAAUACUUUGUUUUUAACUGCAAAACAACUGUGCUGUACGUGUGCUGAUAAAUAAAAAAAAUCUCAUUAUCACAAAAAAUGGUGUAACUUAAUGUUCAUUUCAAUAAUUCAGAUUACCAUGAACAAUCUGGGUUACUAAAAUGUCUAUAAAGCUCCUCCGAAUAAUUGGUGUAACAGCUCAAAAAUCAUUAUUGCUUAUUAACCAUUAUGGCACAUUUUACAACAUCAAGUCUCAGUGAUUAUCCACUGUAUGCGUUUUCACUGGUUUCACAUGUUCACAAACAGGACAUUAAUAGACUUCCAUAACAGUUGGGUCAAGUUUUUGUUUCUUUUCAUUGUGACUAAGUUCUCAAUCAAGCCCAACUUGUGAAAUCUCAGGCAUGAGCUAAUUAAACACAGCUCCUUCUCUAAUAAUAAAAUUCAUAAUUUCCCAAGUAUUAUGUACACUCCUGGGGAUACCAGAGACAUAAUGAGAAGGUGUAUUUGACAUCUUUUGGGUAAAAUAUUCACUCUGUAUGAUCUGAAAGGAAUUUUGAAACAGAAACUACAAACACUGUUGCUGUGACCAGUGAGCUGAGUGUCACAAAAUUGUUAACCUACAGUUCAAUCCAUGUUUCUACAAUCAUCUAUGGCAAUGAGCAGAAAGAAGAUGAUCACUGAUAUGGGUGUUAGCAGUGUGUUUACACUAAAGGCCAUCCUGGCUCUGCCAGGCACAGAGUUAGGAGCCCAGUUAUUUGUCUCACACCUCAAUCUUCACCGGGACAGUGGCGCAAAGGAUAGAGCUGCAACUUUGCACUGAAAGGAGCUGUUUUGAGUUUGCUGUUUGAGGAUGGCCUGCAGAAAUGAAGGUUUGCAGAAAGUGUAACCCUAGAGGAGCUGGAGGAGCUUCUCUACUGGUCUCUCUGAUGGCAACAAAUGGUAGAACGAGGAUGUAUAGAGGAAAAACUGAAUAUUACCAGCACAUGUACAGCAAAUAAUGUGUAGUGCAGUGGAAUGAAGAGCAAAUCACAGCAAAACAACUCAAUUUGCAUUCAUCACCUUAAAGUCAACACACACUCAAUGGAAAACCCUUAAAAGAUUUUAAUAAUGUUGACUCAAAAAAGUAACAAUGAUCUCAUGAAAAAGAGGCACUACUAGUGAAGAUCUGAAGACACCAGUUUUGUUUUUGCUCCCUCGUUAGCACCUGUACCUACUGCACCAAGCAUCAUUUUCUUGUCUCUACAAGUCUGAGAAUGUGUCAUAUUCUAGUUGCAGAAAAAUGUCGUAUGAAGGAGUAAACAGCCGAACUCAGAUGGGGUUUUUUCUCUGUUAAACAUCUUUAUCACUAAUUUCACACCUAAUUAGAGCACACAGUAAAGAAGCAUUGCAUGUCUGACAUUAGACAAGGAAUUACUAAGGCUUUACUGAACAUAUGGACAGAGCUGUGCACGAUAGCACCAAUAUAUGUUUGCUUAAAGUACACACUUGUGUACCUCUAAACAUUCUCUGCAUGGACAAUGCUCAGUACAUUUAAGGAGUUCUUUAUUCUGCCUUUGUCACAAAGAACUAUUCAAUGUAGCAUCAACACUUUGCUGUUUUUCAACUAUGAAAAAAAGUACAAAAGGGGCUGGGGCCAUUAGUAAAAAAAUACAACUAGUACAUCAUCUAGAAGAAAAACCCAAGUGUCAGUAUGGAUGAUAAUUUAAGCAGACUGGCAAUAUUAAAUUAAAAAAAUCAAGCAGCAGCAGUUAUACAAAUACACCUCUGUAGUUUUCCAGCAGUAGUUAGUGAGAGAGACAAAUUGUCUCUUUUCACUUCAUUUCUCAACAGAACUUCAGCAAAAAGCUGAGACCUGUAAUGCUUUCUCCCCUAGAGAUGACAUUUGUCAAUGUCCCCUGUAAACUUAACGAUGGUUAAGUUUACAGGGGACAAAGAGAAAGAGACUUAGGUUAAAGCCUC